GUCAGUGCGAGGAGUAUAAACUCUGUUUGUAUUCGUGUUUGAUCACCUGAACAUACAAAUCUUCAGAAUGACGCUGCAGAUCCACCUGGACAGGGACACUGUGAGGGUGAGGUUGAUGGAUGAUCCUGAUGACUAAAAACCCUCUGACCUCCACCGGUGAAGAUAUUUACAUGGAUUCAUACAGAGAUAACACACAGCGUCACGAGAUCGGAACAUCGGCUUUCAGUCUGAUCUGAACCCUUCCAGACGGCUGCAGGUUCCCCUUCAGCUCAGCUCACCGUGGAAACACCGACGGGUCAGACGAGACUGUGCACGAGGUCCAAACACAGUACGCUUUAUCAUUGGUUUAAUUAAUCUGUUGAGCCAAAGAAAAUCUGAGCAAG
Larimichthys crocea (large yellow croaker) is the source of this 383-nucleotide long non-coding RNA. RefSeq lists it as uncharacterized. Lineage: Eukaryota; Metazoa; Chordata; Actinopteri; Sciaenidae. The record is from RefSeq and is a predicted model, not a curated record. The transcript has 3 exons.